AGUCGUACGAGAGUUUUUAACUCAAGUGGCGGACGGGUGAGUAACACGUAAGAAUUUGCCUCUAGGAGGGGGACAACAAUUAGAAAUGAUUGCUAAUACCCCAUAUGCUUCCGAGUGAAAUGGAUUUUUCCGCCUAGAGAGAAGCUUGCGGCUGAUUAGCUUGUUGGUGAGGUAAUGGCUCACCAAGGCGACGACCAGUAUCUGGUUUGAGAGGACGAUCAGACGCACUGGAACUGAGACACGGUCCAGACUCCUACGGGAGGCAGCAGUGGGGAAUUUUCCGCAAUGGGCGAAAGCCUGACGGAGCAAUACCGCGUGAGGGAUGACGGCCUAUGGGUUGUAAACCUCUUUUUUCAGGGAGGAAUAAAUGACGUGUACCUGAAGAAUAAGCAUCGGCUAACUCCGUGCCAGCAGCCGCGGUAAGACGGAGGAUGCAAGUGUUAUCCGGAAUCACUGGGCGUAAAGCGUCUGUAGGUGGUCCAAUAAGUCAACUGUUAAAUCUUGAGGCUCAACCUCAAAAUCGCAGUCGAAACUAUUAGACUAGAGUAUAGUAGGGGUAAAGGGAAUUUCCAGUGGAGCGGUGAAAUGCGUAGAGAUUGGAAAGAACACCGAUGGCGAAGGCACUUUACUGGGCUAUUACUAACACUCAGAGACGAAAGCUAGGGUAGCAAAUGGGAUUAGAUACCCCAGUAGUCCUAGCCGUAAACAAUGGAUACUAGAUGUUGACCAGAUCGAC
RNAcentral lists this ribosomal RNA (736 nucleotides) under uncultured phototrophic eukaryote. RNAcentral's name for it is "bacterial SSU rRNA". It matches the Rfam family "Bacterial small subunit ribosomal RNA", at positions 60 to 836 of the family's 1533-position model. The record is from RNAcentral.